This 547-nucleotide ribosomal RNA is filed under the name uncultured bacterium. RNAcentral's name for it is "bacterial SSU rRNA". It matches the Rfam family "Bacterial small subunit ribosomal RNA", at positions 358 to 916 of the family's 1533-position model. The record is from RNAcentral.
GGAAUAUUGGGCAAUGGACGCAAGUCUGACCCAGCGACGCCGCGUGAGGGAUGAAGGCCUUCGGGUUGUAAACCUCUUUCAGUAGGGAAGAAGCGAAAGUGACGGUACCUAAAGAAGAAGCACCGGCUAACUAUGUGCCAGCAGCCGCGGUAAUACAUAGGGUGCAAGCGUUGUCCGGAAUUAUUGGGCGUAAAGAGCUCGUAGGUCGUUUGACACGUCGGAUGUGAAAAUCUGAGGCUUAACCUCAGACCUGCAUUCGAUACGGUCAAACUAGAGUGUGGUAGGGGAGACUGGAAUUCCUGGUGUAGCGGUGGAAUGCGCAGAUAUCAGGAGGAACACCAAUGGCGAAGGCAGGUCUCUGGGCCAUUACUGACACUGAGGAGCGAAAGCGCGGGGAGCGAACAGGAUUAGAUACCCUGGUAGUCCGCGCCGUAAACGGUGGGCACUAGUUGUGGGAACCUUCCACGGUUUCCGCGACGCAGCUAACGCAUUAAGUGCCCCGCCUGGGGAGUACGAUCGCAAGAUUAAAACUCAAAUGAAUUGACAG